UAAGACGAAGGAUGCAAGCGUUAUCCGGAUUCAUUGGGUUUAAAGGGUGCGUAGGCGGCCUAAUAAGUCAGUGGUGAAAUCUCCUCGCUUAACGAGGAAACUGCCAUUGAUACUGUUGGGCUUGAGUACAGAUGCUGUGGGCGGAAUAUGACAUGUAGUGGUGAAAUACAUAGAGAUGUCAUAGAACACCGAUUGCGAAGGCAGCUCACAAAACUGUAACUGACGCUGAGGCACGAAAGUGCGGGGAUCAAACAGGAUUAGAUACCCUGGUAGUCCGCACUGUAAACGAUGAUCACUCGCUGCUAGAGGGCAACUUUUAGUGGCUUAGCGAAAGCGAUAAGUGAUCCACCUGGGGAGUACGCCGGCAACGGUG
This 373-nucleotide ribosomal RNA is filed under the name uncultured bacterium. RNAcentral describes it as "bacterial SSU rRNA". It matches the Rfam family "Bacterial small subunit ribosomal RNA", at positions 521 to 896 of the family's 1533-position model. The record is from RNAcentral.